This 645-nucleotide ribosomal RNA is filed under the name Vibrio alginolyticus. RNAcentral's name for it is "bacterial SSU rRNA". It matches the Rfam family "Bacterial small subunit ribosomal RNA", at positions 67 to 715 of the family's 1533-position model. The record is from RNAcentral. Lineage: Bacteria; Pseudomonadati; Pseudomonadota; Gammaproteobacteria; Vibrionales; Vibrionaceae.
CGGGGAACGAUAACGGCGUCGAGCGGCGGACGGGUGAGUAAUGCCUAGGAAAUUGCCCUGAUGUGGGGGAUAACCAUUGGAAACGAUGGCUAAUACCGCAUGAUGCCUACGGGCCAAAGAGGGGGACCUUCGGGCCUCUCGCGUCAGGAUAUGCCUAGGUGGGAUUAGCUAGUUGGUGAGGUAAGGGCUCACCAAGGCAACGAUCCCUAACUGGUCUGAGAGGAUGAUCAGCCACACUGGAACUGAGACACGGUCCAGACUCCUACGGGAGGCAGCAGUGGGGAAUAUUGCACAAUGGGCGCAAGCCUGAUGCAGCCAUGCCGCGUGUGUGAAGAAGGCCUUCGGGUUGUAAAGUACUUUCAGUCGUGAGGAAGGCGGCGUCGUUAAUAGCGGCGUUGUUUGACGUUAGCGACAGAAGAAGCGCCGGCUAACUCCGUGCCAGCAGCCGCGGUAAUACGGAGGGUGCGAGCGUUAAUCGGAAUUACUGGGCGUAAAGCGCAUGCAGGUGGUUUGUUAAGUCAGAUGUGAAAGCCCGGGGCUCAACCUCGGAAUAGCAUUUGAAACUGGCAGACUAGAGUACUGUAGAGGGGGGUAGAAUUUCAGUGUAGCGGUGAAAUGCGUAGAGAUCUGAAAGAAUACCGGUGG